This 78-nucleotide small RNA is filed under the name Leeuwenhoekiella aequorea. RNAcentral describes it as "Flavo-1 RNA". Lineage: Bacteria; Pseudomonadati; Bacteroidota; Flavobacteriia; Flavobacteriales; Flavobacteriaceae. The record is from RNAcentral.
AAUUUGCGUUAGGGAUAGCAGUGAAAUCCUUUUUGAAGCAGAAGCCCAGAAAGAGUGUAACGAAUAGCCCAGCCCGAA